Long non-coding RNA from Zingiber officinale, 969 nucleotides. RefSeq lists it as uncharacterized. Lineage: Eukaryota; Viridiplantae; Streptophyta; Magnoliopsida; Zingiberales; Zingiberaceae. The transcript is spliced from 3 exons. The record is from RefSeq and is a predicted model, not a curated record.
AUGCCGAAGCUUCCUCAUUCCCCCCUCCUUCUCCCGAUUCCUUCUCAUUCCCCCACUGUCGACUCAUCCCUUCUUCUCCUCUUUAUCUUCCCCAACACAACGGCGCCGCCUCGCGACGCCUCAUCUCCCACGCGUACAAAAUUGUUGACCAAGGAAAGCCUCGAGCCCUCUCCUCUCCCGAUCUGUCACCUGUGUCGCAACACCGCCUUCUCCUCUUCUCACUGCAAUCUAGUGACGCCGAAGCACCGCUGCCCUUGCUGACGCUGCAAAUUGGCGCUAGCCGGCCAUCAACUACCCGAGCCUUGUCGCCUGUGCCCUAGCCACCCUCUGCCCUAGUUUGGAUCCGCCCCUCUUGCGAUCGAGCUAUGGACAGCCACCGAACCAGAGCCCUUCUACCCCUUUCUCGCUAUCGAUUCAUCGCCGGCAACUGAAUCCGUGCGCCUUCUCCACCUCUGGGCUCUCCCAUAGCGCAUUGAUGGGUGUGUCACCACCAAAUUCCGACUACAUUGACAUCAUUCAGCCAUCGUAGGAUAAGCAACCACCAUUUCCAGCGAUCAACCGAGUCGAUCACAACAGAUCUACUCCUUUGGGCACAUUUACCCCUCUAAUUAUGCUGUGUCAGUAGAUCAAGCAAGUGUCACAUUCUUGCCACUCCAUUAUCAGAGAGGGACUGGCUGCAUAGGGGUUCUCACGGGGAGAUUUGCGACUCCACCUUGCUCCAACCACCGGAUCCAGCAGCAACCUCCUCUAGCAGUGGGACUCCAUUGACAUAGCAUCACGACGUGGGAUUUAUCUGAUAUGAUCUUCUUUUGAGUUGGGUACCUUUGACUUAUAUAUUUUGAUAUUGUCAUUCUGAUAUGUGUAAUAGGUUAUAACUAGUAGUAAUGGUUAUGUUUAUAUUUGCUUGGUAUAUCACUACUUGAUACUUGUAGUAUGCCUAUAUUGUUAUCUGUUAUGCAUUUAUGUUUA